GUCCUUUUGAAUUUAAUUGAAGGUCUGACCUGCCCAGUGAGGAGUUCAACGGCCGCGGUAUACUGACCGUGCAAAGGUAGCAUAAUCAUUAGUCUUUUAAUAGGGGGCUGGAAUGAAAGGUUUAACGAGGAACUGACUGUCUCAUUUUAUUUGUUUUAAAAUUUAAUUUUUUAGUUAAAAAGCUAAAAUUCUAUUGGAAGACGAGAAGACCCUAUAGAUCUUUACAUGAAAUUAUCUAAAUAUUUUUAUAUUAAUAUUUUUAGAUUAUUUUUUGUUUUGUUGGGGUGACAAAAAUAUAUAUUUAACUUUUUUAUAUACAUAACAUUGAUUUAUGAAUAUUAGAUCCAUUAUUAUUGAUUAUUAGACUAAGUUACCUUAGGGAUAACAGCGUAAUCCUCCUCCAGAGUUCGUAUUAACAGGAUGGGCUUGCGACCUCGAUGUUGGAUUAAGAUAAUAAUUAGGUGUAGCAGCUUAAUUUAUAGGUCUGUUCGACCUUUAAAUUCUU
Molecule: ribosomal RNA, 505 nt
Filed under: Libellula angelina
Lineage: Eukaryota; Metazoa; Arthropoda; Insecta; Odonata; Libellulidae
Description: partial 16S rRNA
Rfam family: Bacterial large subunit ribosomal RNA
Source: RNAcentral